Molecule: ribosomal RNA, 622 nt
Filed under: uncultured fungus
Lineage: Eukaryota; Fungi
Description: eukaryotic LSU rRNA
Rfam family: Eukaryotic large subunit ribosomal RNA
Source: RNAcentral
AUAUUACUAAGCGGAGGAAAGGAAACUAACUAGGAUUGCCUCAGUAACGGCGAGUGAAGCGGCAAGAGCCCAAACUGGAAAUCUCUGCUCCCCGGGGCAGCGAAUUGUAAUCUAAAGGUGGGGUGCUAUAACGGAUGUGGAGCAGAAGUGUCUUAGAACGGACCGCCAGAGAGGGUGACAGCCCCGUAUGUGGUUCCAUAUCCAAUCAGCACUUUACCAACGAGUCGGGUUGUUUUGUAUUGCAGCCCUAAGUGGGAGAUAAACUUCUUCUAAGGCUAAAUAUAUAUGGGAAACCGAUAGCGAACAAGUACUGUGAAGGAAAGAUGAAAAGAACUUUGAAAAGAGAGCCAAAAGACUUGAAAUCGUUGAGAAGGAAGCGGUAGAAAUUUAUUCUUCGGCAUUCAUCUUAGGUUUUCACUUAACUAUUCCGGAGCUAAGGUACGCAAGGCCUGGCGUUGGACUUGGGGAAGUGGGGCUGUGGUGGGUGUUGUGAGGCAAAAUGGGAUUGUAUUUCUGCAAAGGUGCUUGUCGCUUAGGGGGCUUCGGCUCUCAACGAUGGGUGUGCCGGUAGGGGUAUAGUCCGAGGGGCUUUGUGCGAUUUUGCCAAAAUGGUUUUUACCGA